RNAcentral lists this ribosomal RNA (174 nucleotides) under Triticum aestivum (bread wheat). Its description in RNAcentral is "partial small subunit ribosomal RNA". Lineage: Eukaryota; Viridiplantae; Streptophyta; Magnoliopsida; Poales; Poaceae. The record is from RNAcentral.
AUGGCUUCAAUCGCAAUGCUAGUCAUAUGGAAAAUUUGGAACGAGCGCAAUGCAAGGGUCUUCAACAACAAAUUCGCAACUAUGGGAUACAUCUUCUAUAGGAUCCAUGAGCAGACUUGUAUUUGGGUUAAGGCGGGUGCUACGCGUUUGAGUAAUUUGAUGCCAGGAGAAUAG